RNAcentral lists this ribosomal RNA (386 nucleotides) under uncultured bacterium. RNAcentral describes it as "bacterial SSU rRNA". It matches the Rfam family "Bacterial small subunit ribosomal RNA", at positions 28 to 417 of the family's 1533-position model. The record is from RNAcentral.
GACGAACGCUGGCGGCGUGCUUAACACAUGCAAGUCGAGCGGUAAGGCCCUUUCGGGGGUACACGAGCGGCGAACGGGUGAGUAACACGUGGGUGACCUGCCCUCAGCUCUGGGAUAAGCCUGGGAAACUGGGUCUAAUACCGGAUAUGACUUCACAUCGCAUGGUGUGUUGUGGAAAGUUUUUUCGGCUGGGGAUGGGCCCGCGGCCUAUCAGCUUGUUGGUGGGGUGAUGGCCUACCAAGGCGACGACGGGUAGCCGGCCUGAGAGGGCGACCGGCCACACUGGGACUGAGACACGGCCCAGACUCCUACGGGAGGCAGCAGUGGGGAAUAUUGCGCAAUGGGCGGAAGCCUGACGCAGCGACGCCGCGUGGGGAUGACGGCCU